AAAAAUGGCCCAAAUACAAAAAAAAAAAAAAACCUAAGACCCACAACCUAAACUUUUUCAGAAAACUAAAAAAACCCGAGUUCUUUCGCGCCGCACCCCACCACGUCGGUGUGCUCACUGCCCGAGGCAUGACGCGCCCCCUGUCACCAUUACACCAAAAUAGUAAGGCAUGACUCCCAUCAUCAUCGUUGACCGCCAUGGGUACUUGCAAAGAGAAAACAAAAGAGGACAGUGAGCAAAAAUAGUGGAAAUGGCAGAAACAGUAGAAACAACAAACAAAAAAAAAAUAGUAUGUAAUAUAUGGCUAUAAAAGCCAUAACAACAGAUUGUAUUCACACACACAAAGCAAUUGAAUAGAAUACAAAAAAGAAGAACAACAAGUUUAACAAAACAAAAGGUAGUUAUUUUUUUUAUUUCGAAAUAUAAAAAAAAACAAAAGGCUAGAUUUUUUACCUAUUUUGUUGCACCACCGCCGUGGGUGGUCCCCGUCGACUUGUAAGGCUGCCAAAUCCCUAGGGAUUUGUCUAAGUUGUAAGGUUGCCAAAUCCCUAGGGAUUUGUUUAAGGCCACGUCGAAAAGGGAGAGAAAACAAAUUAUUAUUUUUUAUUUUUUGUUGAGUUCGAUUGGGUUUUUAGGGAUUUCAGUCUCAAAUUUGUGUUUUACAUACAAAGGGCUUCAAAAGGGGAAGUUUUGGGGAACUUCAGCCACCGGAGGCAGUGGUCUCUGUUGCCGUUGACCAGCGGCCCCGGCGGAGACCCACCGUCCCCUGGCCGAUUGGAAAAGGGUUGUUUGAGAGAAAGAAAAGGGUUAGAAAGGGAUUUUUUUAAAAAAAACAAGGGUAAAAUGAUUUUUUUUAUUUUUUUACUUAUAUAGGGUUAUAAUACGACGCUGUUUUGGGUUUAACCUUCAAACGCCCAAAACGACGUCGUUUUGGCGCGACCCAAGACCUGACCUGAAUAUUAGCAAGAUCCGCGUGUUUUCGCGACAAGGCCUAAUUACAGCCUUAGUCCUUUCGCUUUUUAAACGCUUUUCAAUAUAGUCUUAUUUCUGUCUUUUUUUCUUUUUAAAAUUUAUACCGUUUAAUUCUGAUUUUUUAUUUAUUUUGGUCCCUCUGGAAAACGUGCGCAUUAUGAGGUUGGGAAUAUUUUUCCAAUCGGCCCCUUUUUUUUGUGUGUUAUAUUUUAGUCCUUUAUUUUGCUUUACUCAUUUAUUUAUUUUAUAUAAUUCAUUAGUUAAAUUUCAAUUUAAUCACCCAUUUAUUUAAUCUCACAUCUUUAAUUGCCUUUUGUAAGGCCCAAAUUUUGCUCGGGGCCUAAUAAAACCAAACCUAAUUUCAACCUUAGGCAGAGCCCAAAUAAAAAAAAAUUCCAAAAAAAAUAAUAAAACAGUCCAAUUAAUAAUACAUGGCCCAAAUUAAAACCCCCAUCGGCCCACAACCUAAACUAACCCUACCAGUCCACUAUCUCAAAAAUUUUCAGCAGACUACAAACUCAACCCCCACGUCAGCACUCCAGACAGGAUCCCCGUAUACCCCGCUCCAUGUUUUCGCCCAUGUUUCACGCCCCUCAUUCUCCACAACUUCAACACCUGCAAUUUGAGCAAAGAAAUAGGUAGAAAAUGUAUGGUUUUUGGCUAUAAAGGCUUCAAUUUUUCAUAGUAAAAGGGGGAUCCAAAAAUUGUAUCACUCGCGUAUUUUUCAAGGAAUCAAACAAAAAACACACAGAAGGUUGAUCUCCGAUUUUGUUCUCUUUAUUUUCGUUUUUCGUUUUCUUGCUUUUUUAAUAUUUCUUUUAUUUUUUAUACAAAUCUAUUAAACAAAGAUACAAAAAAUAAAAAAAAAUAAAAGGAAAGAGGAAGGAUUCUUACCAGAUCUGGCCCCGUCGCCGCGUUAUCGGAGCCUUCCCCUCCGUUCGACGUGGUUGAGUCUAAAAAGGGGGUUGAACCCUUGUCUUUUCGUUUUUGGAACUAGCCUCCAACAAGUAAAAAAGGGGAGAGCUAAAGGAGCCUAUUUUGGUGUAUCGCCGGCCACCGAGUGCGGUGGUGGCGCGGCGGUUGAAAGGCGGCAAUGAUGGGUUUCUUUGAAACCCUAGCAGAAAAUAAAAGAGAAGGGAAAGGGGGAGAGAGCAGGGAAACUCUCUGUUCUUUUUGUUUAAAGUUGGGGGAAGGCUGGUAAUGGAAUAAUAAAAUAAAAAAUAAAAAAAUGGAAAGUUGGUAAUGGAAUAAAAAAGGGAAAG
RNAcentral lists this long non-coding RNA (2234 nucleotides) under Gossypium barbadense (sea-island cotton). RNAcentral describes it as "long non-coding RNA (GBAR_LNC005705)". The record is from RNAcentral. Lineage: Eukaryota; Viridiplantae; Streptophyta; Magnoliopsida; Malvales; Malvaceae.